Molecule: ribosomal RNA, 206 nt
Filed under: uncultured bacterium
Lineage: Bacteria
Description: partial 16S ribosomal RNA
Rfam family: Bacterial small subunit ribosomal RNA
Source: RNAcentral
UGCGCAGGCGGUUUUGUAAGACAGUGGUGAAAUCCCCGGGCUCAACCUGGGAACUGCCAUUGUGACUGCAAGGCUGGAGUGCGGCAGAGGGGGAUGGAAUUCCGCGUGUAGCAGUGAAAUGCGUAGAUAUGCGGAGGAACACCGAUGGCGAAGGCAAUCCCCUGGGCCUGCACUGACGCUCAUGCACGAAAGCGUGGGAGCAAACA